Molecule: ribosomal RNA, 439 nt
Filed under: uncultured bacterium
Lineage: Bacteria
Description: partial 16S ribosomal RNA
Rfam family: Bacterial small subunit ribosomal RNA
Source: RNAcentral
CCUACGGGUGGCAGCAGUGGGGAAUAUUGCACAAUGGGCGAAAGCCUGAUGCAGCAACGCCACGUGAGCGAUGAAGGCCUUCGGGUCGUAAAGCUCUGUCCUCAAGGAAGAUAAUGACGGUACUUGAGGAGGAAGCCCCGGCUAACUACGUGCCAGCAGCCGCGGUAAUACGUAGUGGGCUAGCGUUAUCCGGAAUUACUGUGCGUAAAGGGUGCGUAGGUGGUUUCUUAAGUCAGAGGUGAAAGGCUACGGGUAAAACGUAGUAAGCCUUUGAAACUGGGGAACUUGAGUGCAGAAGAGGAGAGUGGAAUUCCUAGUGUAGCGGUGAAAUGCGUAGAUAUUAGGAGGAACACCAGUUGCGAAGGCGGCUCUCUGGACUGUAACUGACACUGAGGCACGAAAGCGUGGGGAGCAAACAGGAUUAGAUACCCGUGUAGUC